This 464-nucleotide long non-coding RNA is filed under the name Glycine max (soybean). RNAcentral describes it as "long non-coding RNA (GMAX_LNC003481)". The record is from RNAcentral. Lineage: Eukaryota; Viridiplantae; Streptophyta; Magnoliopsida; Fabales; Fabaceae.
AUUCUAUUCCCUCAAGUUCUUGCUGACUAUGAGAAGGCCCCGGUGUACAAGCCUCCCAUUGAGAAGCCACCACUUUACAAGCCCCCAAUUGAGAAACCUCCUGUUUAUAAACCUCCAGUUGAGAAACCCCCCAUUUAUAAGCCCCCAGUAGAGAAGCCACCAGUGUACAAGCCUCCAGUAGAGAAACCCCCAGUUUACAAGCCCCCAGUUGAAAAACCACCAGUUGAGAAACCCCCAGUAGAGAAGCCUCCAGUUUACAAGCCCCCAGUUGAAAAACCACCAGUGUACAAGCCACCAGUUGAGAACCCUCCAAUUUACAAACCCCCAGUUGAAAAACCACCAGUAUACAAGCCCCCAAUUGAGAAACCUCCAGUUUAUAAGCCACCAGUAGAGAAGCCACCGGUUGAGAAGCCUCCAGUCUACAAGCCACCAUAUGGAAAGCCACCAUACCCAAAGUACCCUCC